GGGGACUACGAGCGCCAGCUUAAAACCCAAAGGACUUGACGGUGUCUCAGACCCACCUAGAGGAGCCUGUUCUAGAACCGAUAAUCCCCGUUCAACCUCACCACCCCUUGCUUUUCCCGCCUAUAUACCGCCGUCGCAAGCUUACCCUGUGAAGGACUUACAGUAAGCAAAAUGGGUACUACCCAAAACGUCAGGUCGAGGUGUAGCUCACGAGGUGGAAAGAAAUGGGCUACAUUUUCUUUAGCAGAAUAUUACGAACAGCACUAUGAAACUAGUGCUUGAAGGUGGAUUUAGUAGUAAAAAACAAAUAGAGUG
This 315-nucleotide ribosomal RNA is filed under the name Schizodon fasciatus. RNAcentral describes it as "partial 12S ribosomal RNA". It matches the Rfam family "Bacterial small subunit ribosomal RNA", at positions 875 to 1356 of the family's 1533-position model. Lineage: Eukaryota; Metazoa; Chordata; Actinopteri; Characiformes; Anostomidae. The record is from RNAcentral.